AUUGAACGCUGGCGGCAGGCCUAACACAUGCCAGUCGAACGGUAACAGGAAGCAGCUUGCUGCUUCGCUGACGAGUGGCGGACGGGUGAGUAAUGUCUGGGAAGCUGCCUGAUGGAGGGGGAUAACUACUGGAAACGGUAGCUAAUACCGCAUAAUGUCGCAAGACCAAAGAGGGGGACCUUCGGGCCUCUUGCCAUCGGAUGUGCCCAGAUGGGAUUAGCUUGUUGGUGGGGUAAGGGCUCACCAAGGCGACGAUCCCUAGCUGGUCUGAGAGGAUGACCAGCCACACUGGGACUGAGACACGGUCCAGACUCCUACGGGAGGCAGCAGUGGGGAAUAUUGCACAAUGGGCGCAAGCCUGAUGCAGCCAUGCCGCGUGUAUGAAGAAGGCCUUCGGGUUGUAAAGUACUUUCAGCGGGGAGGAAGGGAGUAAAGUUAAUACCUUUGCUCAUUGACGUUACCCGCAGAAGAAGCACCGGCUAACUCCGUG
RNAcentral lists this ribosomal RNA (490 nucleotides) under uncultured bacterium. RNAcentral describes it as "partial 16S ribosomal RNA". It matches the Rfam family "Bacterial small subunit ribosomal RNA", at positions 30 to 507 of the family's 1533-position model. The record is from RNAcentral.